Microcebus murinus (gray mouse lemur) is the source of this 1183-nucleotide long non-coding RNA. Lineage: Eukaryota; Metazoa; Chordata; Mammalia; Primates; Cheirogaleidae. The record is from Ensembl.
CUGAAAACCCAUUCUUGAGCUAUUUGAAAAUAUACAAGUUAUUAUAGUCACGCUGUGGUGCCGCAGAACGCUGGGACUAACUCAUCCUUUUCUGUGACCUGCUUGUAGCAUUCAUGGCAUUCCUCUUUGAGCUCAGUGAUCUCGUGGACCUCACAUCAAUCGGGACCCUGCUCACUUACUCCUUGGUGUCCUUCUGCGUUCUUGUCCUCAGGUACCAGCCAGACCAGAAUCCCCGCAAGAAUGAGGCAGCGGAGGGGGAACUUGAGAUGAAGCCUGUGCCUGAAGCAAGGUCGCCGGAACCUGUUCCUGUGGCAGGACCCGCGGCGACUCUCAGGAGUCUGUGUCACCCUGUCGACUCCCGUCCCACCCCGAGAUCAGGCCGCACCGUGUACGGCUGUGCCUUGCUGCUCGUUUUCCUGCUGACGAUCCUGAGCCUCAUCCUGGCCCAGUGGCCCGCACUGCUGUUCUCCGGAGACCCGGCGUGUGCGGCCGUGACCGUGUUGCUGCUGGCGCUCAUUGUGGGCAUCACGUUCAUCAUUUGGAGACAGCCCCAGAGCAACACUCCUCUUUACUUCAAGGUAGGUGACCUGGGUCCCCAAGUCCCCGCCCUGAGUGAAUGACCUCUGCAUGCCUCGAGGUCUAAACACUCUUUGCUGCACAGCGAAGAAAACGGGGAGUGGCUAAAAGCUGUGGAUCAUUCACGGGUGACCCCAACACCCCAUAUCAGCACUUUGCUACUGUGUUUCCCCAAAAAUAAGGCCUACCCAUAAAAUAAGCCCUAGCAGAUGUCUAAGCAUUUGUGCAAUAGAAGCCUCAACCUGAAAAUGAGCCCUAGUGAUGGGCAUGGCCACCAGCGUGUCUGCACAGCCCAAGCGUGUCAUCCCGGAGCGGGAAAGAACACGAGCAGCCCUUCUCCUCUGCCCUGUGACAGCUCUGUGGCUCCACGUGAGAGAUCGGGGCCGGUGGUUCUAAAGGAAAUAGAGUGGCAAGAAAUUCAGGGUGGAAUUCGGGGUUUGGAGAGUGAUGAUGAUGUUCCAGAAGAAGACGACUUCACUAUAUUUGAAUCAAUGUAGAUUAUUGUACCAUACUUAAAACACAUGCCCUGAAAAUAAGCCCUAGGGUGUCUUCUUGAGGAAAAUUGAAUAUAAGACCCUGUCUCAUUUUCGGGGAAACACGGUAGUUG